This 607-nucleotide ribosomal RNA is filed under the name uncultured bacterium. Its description in RNAcentral is "bacterial SSU rRNA". It matches the Rfam family "Bacterial small subunit ribosomal RNA", at positions 338 to 943 of the family's 1533-position model. The record is from RNAcentral.
CCUACGGGAGGCAGCAGUGGGGAAUUUUGGACAAUGGGCGCAAGCCUGAUCCAGCCAUGCCGCGUGUGGGAAGAAGGCCUUCGGGUUGUAAACCACUUUUGUCAGGGAAGAAACGGCUCUUACUAAUAUUAGGGGCUAAUGACGGUACCUGAAGAAUAAGCACCGGCUAACUACGUGCCAGCAGCCGCGGUAAUACGUAGGGUGCAAGCGUUAAUCGGAAUUACUGGGCGUAAAGCGUGCGCAGGCGGCUUUGCAAGACAGAUGUGAAAUCCCCGGGCUCAACCUGGGAACUGCAUUUGUGACUGCAUGGCUAGAGUACGGUAGAGGGGGAUGGAAUUCCGCGUGUAGCAGUGAAAUGCGUAGAUAUGCGGAGGAACACCGAUGGCGAAGGCAAUCCCCUGGACCUGUACUGACGCUCAUGCACGAAAGCGUGGGGAGCAAACAGGAUUAGAUACCCUGGUAGUCCACGCCCUAAACGAUGUCAACUGGUUGUUGGACGGCUUGCUGUUCAGUAACGAGCUAACGCGUGAAGUUGACCGCCUGGGGAAGUCGGCGCAGUUGAAACUUNAAGGAUUGACGGNNGNGNGNGCGAGNGACGAGAGGAGAG